UGGAGUUCUUGCAGAUUUUCAAAUAAAACUCAGAGAUUCCUUGUAUGACUCUCUCAGAUCUCUCUUUUGUGGUAUUUCUGGGUCCUUACCAAGGCAGUAAUGGUAUAUGCCUUCUCUCAAAGUAUGUGGUAUAAUGCAUAGUGAUAUUGCCUUCUCUCUCACCCUACUCUAAUAAGGUUUUGAUAUCUGGAGCUCAUAGGUGGGAGACAGCUAAUACAUACUUACAAGACAUUUAUUGCAUAGUCAAACCAUGGAUCCAGAGAAACAAGUCAAUAAGUCAAAUCAAGAUGUGUAUGUGUGGCGAAUGAAUGGUGUAUGGUGAUGAUGGUGAUAACAAUGGUGAAAGUCUAAUUCUACUUUUGCUCUUUUGAGGGGAUACAUACCUUUCUUGCACUUUGAAGCUUUUUUGAGGAGAAUGAGAUGCUCUAUAUUUUCUUUUUGUUUUCUCUCAGGUGGGUAUCUUGUACCCCUAAUUCUACUGUCGGACACUUGUCCAUUUUUACCACUCGUCUCACUUUUUCUUUUCUUCGAGGUUCCGGACACUUGCCCCUUUUUAUUUCCUCGUAUUCAUUUUUUUUCUUUCUUUCUUUUUUAGAGCACUCAUCUCCUAAAAUAAUAUAGCAAGUGGUAGUAACCAAGAUAACUCGAGUAUUUAUUUCACAAGGAAAAACAGAAAUGUUUUUGGCUAUUCUCUCCCGGAUUAGAAGUAGAAUACUUUUGGGUGGCUCUGGAGAUGGAAGUGAGUGGAUAUAUGCGGAUGCGUACUUCCGAAGUAGAAGCAGCAUGUGUGAGUGAACGUGCAAGUGAAUCUUGAUUUUAACCACAUGACAAGCUCCUAAGGGUCUACACAGCUUCACCACACUCAAUGCUCAUAAGCAGUAAUAAGUAAAUGUGUGGCUCAAAGUCUAAUAAGCAUGUAUAUAUGGCUGUGGUAGGAUUUUAAACACUCAUCAUAUAGGAACUCAUCAUGUGUUAUUUUAAAGAUUUUCAAAGAUAAAAUUCUCCAAAAUUCUAGCAUCUCUAGGAACAGAUAAACAGCAGCUCAACCUCUCAUAUCAUAUCCGUUAACAACUUAGACUUCAGAUCAAGUACUCUUCCCACAAGUUCAGGUUUAGAGCAAAUUACUUCAUAAGAGUCAUGCCUAAACUUGAGAGAGAUUUCAAUUGUAAGAACUAGUCAUGCCAGAGCAACUAUUGAUCAUUUCCAUGUGAGAGUUUAUCAUGAGGGUUCAUAGCAAACUUUAUUUAUUUAUUUAUUUAGCAAAUUAAGCAAAGAUAUAUAUAAAAGCACAAAAUCUUUAUUUGGGUUUUUAUAAUUAUGUAUCUUUUUAUUAUUUGAGUAUAAACGCGAGUAGAAACACUUAGCUGGAUAAAUGGGGGUGCUCUCCCCCAAGCGGGAUUUUGACGUAAUUUCUUCUGGUGUAGCUAGCACGUGGCGAAGGUGUAUUUGAAUGUCGGCAGCAUCCUGACAGCGAUUAGGAUGUCCUCCGUCUGCUAGUCUUCUUUUGAUCCUUGAAUUUUGUGGAGCUCAAAUAGACAACAAAGCUUUGUGGAACUGGUUAAGUGUUAGCAUAAAUAUCUAGCCUUUAUCAUGUUGAGCCUCCUCAAUAAAUAUUAUUUAUUUAGCAGGAUCAUGCACUUAUUAUUUUUAUAUUUUUAUUGUAAGAUGAAAACUUAUUUAUUUUAUUUUUAUGCCACCACAGUGAAUGUACUUAUGGGUUUUAUGCCAUGAGCAUACCCGCAUGAGGCUUACUAUUUUUUAACAUUUUUAUUUUCUUUUCAAGAUAGCAUGAACCUGAUUAACUAAGCAAACUAUAAUUGAAUAAUUGAAAGGAAAAGGAUAACUACCAAAUUUACCUCUGGACAAGGCGUUCGGUGUUUUUAAGUCCACCGAAUGGGACUCUCCGUUUUCUCAGUCGUCCUGGGAUUCGCUGGAUGGCGUAGUCGGUGAUUCCGGUGGCGCCUCCUCUUCGUGUAUAACUAUCUUCUCCCUCCACACCUGACUCGGUGCUACGGUCUCCUCAGGACAGUUCUGCUCAAGCUGCAUAUCUUUGGACCUUAUUACAUCUCCUUUGUAGUCUGCCCAUCCGUCCUUGAUGAUUUGUCUACUCUAGUUUUGGUUGCGUUGUCGUCUUCAGAGGGAAGUGCAUGUGGACUUCUCCGGUUCCAAUAUAGAUGAUGGCUUUGAUAGUGUUGAGAAACGGUCUUACAAGGAUGGUGGGUGUAUCAUACUCGUCAUCUAUCAUGUCAAUGACCUGAAAAUCAUCUGGAGCUGAAUAUAUAUUGGUUGUAGGGGCAUGGUUCCAUGCAGAAGCUAAUAAGUAACUACAACCAUUAUGUUGACAUCAGAUCCGGUGUCGUAGAGUGUCUUCCGAAAAGAGUAUCCAUUGAUUGUGCACUUGAUGCUUGGAACACCAGGGUCAUCCUUCUUGAUCAGGAAAGGCGACUUGAGUCAACGAUCUUGACCUCCUUCGACAAGGAUCCAAUGUUUUAAGUCUUCUGGACAAGACUUCUCACUGUCUUCAUCAUUUAGGUGCAUCAUUUGAUUAGGUGUGGACCUUGACGUCUGCACCUCUUGAUACGGAGUCACCCAUGUUCUUCGUUUGCCCAGUAGUUCGUAGUGCGGCGUUGGCAAUAUCCUGCUCAGUGUGUUUGUGCUUGUAGAUCUAGGUUCUUCACUUGGUGGAAUCUAGGAGUUGUAAAACUCCUUCAGGUUUUGCUUGAAGUGUACCUGUUCAUAGAGACAAGGCAGAGAUCAAGUGUGAAAGGUCCUUGUUUGGUUUUGGUAAUUGAGUGACAACUUAGGUGGACUAAUAGUGUUUAUGUGAGAUACACAGGAGAUUAGUCCACAGGUGAUGAUGUGAUGAUGGAGGAGCUCAUUGCAUAUGAGACAUGACAUGGAGUCAUGUGACCAAGGUGGAGAAGAUCAAGAUGAGGCUUGGCUCGAUGGACCGGUUGCAAGAGUGAAGGGCAAGUCGGAGGCUUUGAAGCGAGGGACCGCGUGUGACGGUGAAGCUUGAGCAAGACUUGGCACAGAUGGACCGAGGCAACGGUGAAGAGCAAGUGAGGUCAAGAUCGAUGAACCAAUACGGUCGCGUGAUGAUAUGAAGUGGAUCAUAUCAUUUGGUGAUUGGUUGGUGCAUGUGUUGCAUCAACAUUGGAGGAGAUGGAAUGGAAAGCGCAAGGCAAAGGUAUAACCUAGGGCUUUUCCAUUUCACCGGUCAUAGGUGUGUAGAGAAGUUUAUGACCGGAUUUAGGAUAGAUGGCCGUACUAUCAAGAGGGGCAAACUUGUUUGCAUAUCGGUCAUCUAGUGCCACUUGAGCGAUCUAACUUUGCAUAUGUGUUAGGAUCGAGUGGCGUGGCAAGUUGAGAGGCUAACUCCUUUGGUGAAAAUGUUUGUGAAAAUGCUAACACACUUGCACAUGAUGGUGUACACUUGGUGGUGUUGGCACAUUUGCAAAGGAGAAGGUGUUGAAGUUGAUUUUGUUCAACUUGGAGAAGAGAGAGAAGUCUUUCGGUGUUCUCCGGACAUUAGGAUGGCAUUUAGAUUGAAUACUGCUUUGAUCCAUUUUUAUUUGGAUUGAGUAUUCAUUUUUAUUGGAUAGUACUCUAAGUAAGCUUUCCAAAAUGUCCAAGAUCAUCGAAUUCGGAGUUCGGAGCUAAAAGUUAGCAACCUAACAAGUUGAACUGCAGGCACAGGACGCACUGUUCCAGCGUCCGGUGGCACAGGACGCUGAGCGUCCGGUGGCACAGGACGCACUGUUCCAGCGUCCGGUGGCACAGGACGCUGAGAGUCCGGUGCUGCUGCAAGUAUGAGUUGCUCUCUGCGUGUGAGUCCGGUGAGCACCGGACCGUCCGGUGUGAAGCAGCAGAGAGUCCGGUGCUACUGUUCCAGACGCGCGUGCGUGUGCUAGCCGUUGGCGGCAACGGUCAAGUUCAAACGGCUAGUGACACGUGGCUGUUUUUGGAGCACAGGACGCACUGUUCCAGCGUCCGGUGGCUCCCUGUGAGCGUCCGGUGCUCACGACUUUUGCCCAGUGAAGGGGCAACGGCUAGUUUAGCCUUUAGGGCUAUAAAUAGAAGUGGUGGCCGGCCUUGGCUGGUGCUGAGCACCCUUGGGACUUAGUGUCCAUGCUUGGGGAGUGCUAGGAAAGCCUCUAACUUACUUGUGCUUGCAAGAGUGCGAAUCAAUAGCGAGUGAGCGAUUCUAGUGCGUUGCAUUGAGAGAUUGCAUCGAGUGGCACUAGGUGUUCGUGUUGCAAGCCGGUGGUGCUUGUUACUCUUGGAGGUUGCCACCUCCUAGACGGCUUGGUGGCUUGUGACUCCGUCGAAGCACGCAAGGAGAUUGUGCGGUGCUCCGGAGAAGAGAUUGUGAGGGGUACGGUGCUCACCCCGCGGGGAUCGCGAAGAGCAACUCUAGUUGAGCGAGACGUGAAGAGCGACAAGUGGUCCGGCCGGGUAAAGUGCUAGAGCUUGUGGUAAGCACUCCACGUGGGAGAGUGUGACUUGCGGGUCACCACUAGCAAGAGGACCGGCGGCAACCUUGGAGCUUGUCUCAACGGGGACGUAGCUUGGUGGCAACCAAGUGAACCUCGGGAGAAAAUCAUCGUGUCAACUUUGUUCUUCCCGUUGGUUUGCAAGUCCCUAACACAAGCUUGUAUUUACAUUCAUAUAUUUGUGCUUGUGUAGUUGCUCUUGUAAUUAGUUAGCUUGUGUAGCUUGCUAGUUACCUUCUUGCUUGUGUGGCUAGAAGUAGUUCCCCUUGCGUGACUAAUUUGGUUUGUGUAACCUUGUUAGUCACAUUGCUUAGUUUGUGUAGCUAAGUAAGUUGUGCUCUCUAAUUUGGCAUUAGUUGCCUUGUUAUUGAGCUUGCUAGUGAGCUUAGGCUUUGUGCGCUUUGCCUCACUAGUUUGUGUAGGAGCUCCCUCGGUUUGUAAAGUACUAGUUGCAUAGGUUUGUGUGACCUUGCUCCUAGAAUUGUUUAGGUGAGCUCUUGCUAAGGUGGCACCUUGCUUGCUUGUUUAGGAUCUUUUCAAGGUGCUAGAGAACUUAGAUAGAGGGGUGUAGUCUUGGCUAGACCGAUAGUUUUAAUUCCGCAUUUGUUUCGGUUAGCCGGCGUAGUAAAUUUUAUAAAGGACUAGUCACCCCCCCUCUAGUCCGCCAUCUCGACCCUUCAAGUGGUAUCAGAGCUAGGUCUCUCAUUUGUGGUCUUCACCGACCCGAGAGGAUGGCGACUUAUGGGCUAGAUGUUGAGUGUCCACACAUUUUUGAUGGCACACACUUUGCACAGUGGAGAAAUUGGAUGACAUGCAAUUUUAAGUUUAUUUCUCCUCAAAUGUGGUGGAUCGUAGAUGUGGGUUUUUCUUGUGCAAUUGAUAAAAAGGUUGCAACUCAAGCGCAAAAGAAAUACCUACAUCUCGAUUGCCAAGCUACUAACAUCUUCUACUCAUCUAUAAAAGAUAAUAUAUUUGGUGAGAUCAUGGAUAUGAAGUCCGCCCAUGAGAUUUGGGUAUUUCUCAAUGAGAAAUAUGGGGCAAUAUCCAAAGAAGAUGAUGUGCCAAAGGUGGAUGCAAAUGAGGAUGUUGAGCAUGACCACAACAUGGUUGUUAUGGAGGAUUGCUCCACCUCAUGGUCAAGUGAUGGUGAUGACGACGCUACCACAAGAUCACUUGAAAAGGAUGAUGAUGAUGCCACAAGUGAUGCAAAUGAUGAUGCUACCUCAUGCACACUUGAUGAUGAAGAUGAUGGCUAUGAGAGUGAUGCUUCCACAAGCUCAUCUACUACAUCACCACAUUGCUUCAUGUCACAUGGUGACACUAAGGUAUCUAUUGGUGAUGUGAUUAUUGAUUGUGAUGGUCCAAAUUUUGAGCUUGUAUGCAAACUCUCAAAAGCUUUAAGAAAUGAGUUAGCAAAAACAAAUAAAUUGAAAAAUGAAAACUCAUUUCUAAAGACCACAUGUGAACAACAAAAGCAUCUACUUUAUGUUACUACUUGUUCACAUGAGGAGCUAAAAUUGGUUCAUGAGGAACUUUGUGUUGCUCAUGAUAACUUAGUAAAAGAUCAUGCUUUUCUCACUAAGUGGCUUUCUAAUGAAGAAACUAAAACUAGUGAGAGCUCAUCAUUUGGGUCAAAUGAUCGAUCAUAUGAUAUUACUAACCCUUGUGAUGUAGGUAAGAAGCAUGUAUCCACCUCUUGUGAUGAUUUAUUAUCUAUGCCAUGUUCUUCACAUUUAGGUGCUUGUUCUACUUCUAUGUCUUGUGAGACUAACAUUUUGAAGGAGAACAAUGAGCUCAAAAAUGAAGUGAAGAAUUUGAGCAACAAGUUAGAGAGGUGCUACUACUCAAAAGUCACCUUUGAGCAUAUAUUGAAGACUCAAAGAAUCUAUGGUGACAAGUGUGGCCUUGGCUUCAAGAAGAAGAUGACAAAGGGCAAAAGAAAGCAAGAGAAAGAAAAGCUCUCUCAUUUCAUGUGCUACCGGUGCCAUGAAGUGGGACAUCUUGCAAAUGGUUGCCCAAACAAAGAGAAGCUCAAGAAGAUGAAGGAAGAAGAGAGGUUAAAGCAUGUUAAGUGCUUCAAGUGUCGCACUUGGGGUCAUCUCACCUCAAUGUGCCCAACCAAGCAAUUGGUGAAGCAUCAAACGAAGCCUCAACAAAAGCCACAAGUUGAGCAAGAAAAGAAGCCCCAAGCUCAAGUCAAGAUCAACCAUGAAGAUGGUGGUGACAUGGGGAUGAUGAAAAAGAAGACAAGAAGGGGAGGUAGACAAUCAAGAUCAUCAAAAGACCUCUCCCACAUCAAAUGCUUUGAGUGCAAGAAUGAUGGACACUUUGCCUCGAAGUGUCCUACCAAGCUUGAGAAGAAGGCUCAAGCAACUCUCAAGAGGCAAGGCAAUGAGAAGCAACGCAUGAGCAAGGAAGAAAAGGCUCAAUCCAAAAGAAGUUGCUACUUAUGCCGGGAAAGGGGACACAUGGCUUAUUCAUGUCCCCUAGGUAAUAAUUCUAAGCCCAUUUCAAUUGAUGAUAAUACUAUGCUUAGAAAGGAUGGUAAUGGUACCUCUAUGGUUGCUAUUGCAAAACAUCCCGCUACUCAUACUAAGGCUAUGCCUAAGUAUGUUGCACCUAACUUGAGAGGACCCAAACUAGUUUGGGUACCAUCAAAAAGUGGAUGAUUGUUUGUAGGUACCAUCGGCAUUGGAGGCUUGAUUCAAUUGAUCUUAUAUUAUUCAUCAUAUGAUUGAGUCAAGUAUUGAAGCUUAGUGCUUAUCCUAUCCCAAUGCCAAGACAAAUAAGUGAAGUCCAAGUGCUACAACAUACAAGUGCAAAUAUUCAAGUUGUGGUGAUUUAUUGGAUUAUUUGAUGGCUUGCAAAUACAUGAGUUCAAGCUUGCAAAUUAGAUGAUCAUGAGCUAACCAAGGUAUAUCUCUGUUGAUCACAUUCAUUUGGGUGCAUAUGAGUUGAUUGAAUUAGAUAUAUAUGCAAUGUUGCUUGCUAUAAGAUGAUUGAAUGGAUUAAAUGCUUAGUAAUCAAGUUUGGAUUGAUUUGAGUUGGAUAAGUUCAUGAGAUAACAUUUAGUAAGUGGAUUGAAUGGAUAUAUGUCUUGUGAAAGUAUUCAAUCAAGUUGAUUUCAAGUUUGAUUCAAUUUGAACAAGUAUAGCUCAAUUGCUUGAAAUCUGUCCAUUUUUGAAAAUCUGAGCUAGCAGUGAUCAAGUCUGAGUUUGAGUGACCAAAUCUAUUUGGAAUGGCUUGAAAUUUGGUAUGCAUGCUGUACACUUUAUCAUAGAAGAUGCUGUAGAAAUUUCAUGAAGAUUGGAUAAGGGAUGCUUCGGUUUUGGAGUGGAUCUUAUCAGCUAUAGUGCAGCAAAUUUCAGCAUGUAGCAGUGGUGGAAGAAUUGAAAUCUGGUAGCAAUCUAGAAGUCAAAAGAAGAUCAAAUUUUUACAGCUGCUAGAUGACUCAGUAAAGCACAUCUCCACCAAAUUUCGUAGUAUUUGGAUCUGUACAUGGUGAGAUAUGAGUUAUUCUUUGAAAGGUACAGAAUCUGCCAGAAAAGUGACAAAUAUUGGAUUGAUCUAGAGUCACUUAAAUUGAAAGGUCCUCAAGUUGGAAUUAUAAUUAUAAGUGUUUGAGGCACCUAAGUUUGGUCUUGAAUUGAUCUAGAAGCAUGACAAGUAAUGAGUACAAGGUCAUUUGAUUGUGGAAUGUACUUAGUGUACACAUUUAGUACUCAAAUUGAAGAUCAAGAUCAAACUCAAGAUGAAGUUUAAGUUUAAGUUCUAGUGACUAUUGGAGAUCAUUUGGUAGAAAGAAAAGGACUUAAACAAGUAGAAAGAAAAGGACUUAAAGAAGGUUUCAUGGUUACUCAUCACAUUAAGUCCGUCACUUGAAUCAAUCAAUCAAAGGCAAUUCAAAUAAGUGUCAAAAAUGGUUCUUUGGAGAGAGGUCACUUCUCCCUAUGUGAGGGGCGUGCCGCCCGAGGAGUGGGUAAACCAAGUGUGGUGCUUGGAAGGCUAACAUGGAAGUGGUGAUCUAAAGAACAUUUGAGAUACUUAGUUGAAGCAAUCAAAAGGAUUGAUCAAGAAAGCAAGCAACACCCAAAGAGAGCUAAUCAUGAUGUUCAAGUGGUAUUCUUAUUAGAUCUCUCAUGCAAGCAAUGGUCAAAAGAAGAAGCAAGCCAACCACAACAUGAAAGUGCACUUGACCAUAAGUGGUUCUAAAUUCAUAUGGGUGAAGAUUUAAUCUAUCAAUUGGCAUUUAUAAUUGGUCUUCACCAAGCUUAUCAAUUGGACUUCACAUUGCUAUUUGGAGCUAAAUUGGAAUCUUAUUGACUAUCCUCUACUCCAAGAUAGCAAAGGUAUCAUUGUAAUGUGCAUGAUCAUUUCAUCCCUUACUAGUAUGCGGUUAGUGCAUAUAGUACAUGCUUAAUAGGAUCAUGCAUAACAAAUGAAAAGUUUUCAAUUCAUAACCUACCACUAUUGCUUGAAUGAUUAAUUGAUCUAGUGGUAUGUGUAUGAGUUUGUUCAUGAGCUAGUGAACCCAAGUACUUGAUCUAUUUUGGAUUGUUAACAAGUGACAAGUACAACAUUGACAAGAUAACCCUUAAUGUGAGGUGUGAAAAAGCUUGUCAUUGGUUCAAACCGGACUUGGAAGCUUUAGCAAAUCAACUUAGUUCAAGUCAACAAUUAGAAGCUCAUGAUGAUUGGAGUACAAGAACAAGACAACAAUGAAAAUGGAUAUCUAAACUCAAAUAUUUCCUCAAUUGGUAUCCUACAAUUGGUACUCAAGAUAGCAAAUGUUCAAGAUAACAAACAAGUGGUUCCAUACUAGAAGACCUUAAUUGGUAGAAGAAACCCAUAUGGUAUCGGACAAGAUAUUUCAAAAUAUCACAUUCAUACAUAUGGUAUCUAUCAUACAAGAAGGUGGUUCCACAAGUGAUCCGCAACUUUAAGUGAUCAUCAAGCGAAACAAGUUCCCUCACCAACAAGAUUGACAAGUGAAUGACCCAUGCUAUGACAUAGGGGGAGUGCCCCACCAAAUGGUAUCAAGGUCAAAGAUACUAUGUGGUAUCUCAAGAACAAUACAAGAAAUGUCAUUCCAAUACAUAUGGUGAUGUCCAUCAAAAAUGCAAGAUUCAAGCCUCAACCAUCUAUCCCAAUGCAAUCCUUUGUCACAAUGAGAUUCACACUUUUUCAAUUGAUAUCAAGUGAUUUGAUUGGUAUCGCAUACCUUUUAUGGAAAUUGAUGACAAAGGGGGAGAAGUUGGAACAAAGAUAUGAGCAUAGGAUAAGUUGGACAACAAAAGAAAUGUUUCAAGUGGGAAGACCAAAGAUGGACAUGGACAAGGGAGCAACAUUGAAGAAAAAGAUGGAUCAAAAUUCUUGAACAUAAGAAGCACACAAGUAGGGGGAGCAAGCUCAUGAACAUUGAUUAAUUGCAUUUGAUUUGUGCAUAUUCAUGUGCUUGCUUGCAUUGCAUAAGUUUCUAAAAAUCAAUAUGCAUGCUUGUGUGGUGUAUGCUAGUUAUAGAACUUGAUUGAUGAUAUGAUAACUAGCAUGCAUAGGUUGGUAGCUAGACUUGUGUUCUUCAAGUAAAAAAAAACUAGACCCUUGCUUAUAAUGUUGAUCUCACGGGGUUUCUAGUGUUUUUGUUGUCUAGCUACACAUGGUGCUAAGGAUGGUGUACAUUGAAUGAUAUCGAAUUUGGUAUCGAGCUACAAAGGUUUAUUCUAUACACCUUAGCACUUAGUAGGGUUUUAUGGUGCUUAUCCAAAUCUUGACAUAGAGCUUAAAUGUUGGAUAAGUAGCAUAAAAUCCAAAACAAGUUAAGCAAUUUACACUUGUGUGAAGUGCUAGCUUGAAAAAGCUUUAAUUUCCAUAUCUUUGUAGAGUUGUCAUCAAUUACCAAAAAGGGGGAGAUUGAAAGGUCCUUGUUUGGUUUUGGUAAUUGAGUGACAACUUAGGUGGACUAAUAGUGUUUAUGUGAGAUACACAGGAGAUUAGUCCACAGGUGAUGAUGUGAUGAUGGAGGAGCUCAUUGCAUAUGAGACAUGACAUGGAGUCAUGUGACCAAGGUGGAGAAGAUCAAGAUGAGGCUUGGCUCGAUGGACCGGUUGCAAGAGUGAAGGGCAAGUCGGAGGCUUUGAAGCGAGGGACCGCGUGUGACGGUGAAGCUUGAGCAAGACUUGGCACAGAUGGACCGAGGCAACGGUGAAGAGCAAGUGAGGUCAAGAUCGAUGAACCAAUACGGUCGCGUGAUGAUAUGAAGUGGAUCAUAUCAUUUGGUGAUUGGUUGGUGCAUGUGUUGCAUCAACAUUGGAGGAGAUGGAAUGGAAAGCGCAAGGCAAAGGUAUAACCUAGGGCUUUUCCAUUUCACCGGUCAUAGGUGUGUAGAGAAGUUUAUGACCGGAUUUAGGAUAGAUGGCCGUACUAUCAAGAGGGGCAAACUUGUUUGCAUAUCGGUCAUCUAGUGCCACUUGAGCGAUCUAACUUUGCAUAUGUGUUAGGAUCGAGUGGCGUGGCAAGUUGAGAGGCUAACUCCUUUGGUGAAAAUGUUUGUGAAAAUGCUAACACACUUGCACAUGAUGGUGUACACUUGGUGGUGUUGGCACAUUUGCAAAGGAGAAGGUGUUGAAGUUGAUUUUGUUCAACUUGGAGAAGAGAGAGAAGUCUUUCGGUGUUCUCCGGACAUUAGGAUGGCAUUUAGAUUGAAUACUGCUUUGAUCCAUUUUUAUUUGGAUUGAGUAUUCAUUUUUAUUGGAUAGUACUCUAAGUAAGCUUUCCAAAAUGUCCAAGAUCAUCGAAUUCGGAGUUCGGAGCUAAAAGUUAGCAACCUAACAAGUUGAACUGCAGGCACAGGACGCACUGUUCCAGCGUCCGGUGGCACAGGACGCUGAGCGUCCGGUGGCACAGGACGCACUGUUCCAGCGUCCGGUGGCACAGGACGCUGAGAGUCCGGUGCUGCUGCAAGUUUGAGUUGCUCUCUGCGUGUGAGUCCGGUGAGCACCGGACCGUCCGGUGUGAAGCAGCAGAGAGUCCGGUGCUACUGUUCCAGACGCGCGUGCGUGUGCUAGCCGUUGGCGGCAACGGUCAAGUUCAAACGGCUAGUGACACGUGGCUGUUUUUGGAGCACAGGACGCACUGUUCCAGCGUCCGGUGGCUCCCUGUGAGCGUCCGGUGCUCACGACUUUUGCCCAGUGAAGGGGCAACGGCUAGUUUAGCCUUUAGGGCUAUAAAUAGAAGUGGUGGCCGGCCUUGGCUGGUGCUGAGCACCCUUGGGACUUAGUGUCCAUGCUUGGGGAGUGCUAGGAAAGCCUCUAACUUACUUGUGCUUGCAAGAGUGCGAAUCAAUAGCGAGUGAGCGAUUCUAGUGCGUUGCAUUGAGAGAUUGCAUCGAGUGGCACUAGGUGUUCGUGUUGCAAGCCGGUGGUGCUUGUUACUCUUGGAGGUUGCCACCUCCUAGACGGCUUGGUGGCUUGUGACUCCGUCGAAGCACGCAAGGAGAUUGUGCGGUGCUCCGGAGAAGAGAUUGUGAGGGGUACGGUGCUCACCCCGCGGGGAUCGCGAAGAGCAACUCUAGUUGAGCGAGACGUGAAGAGCGACAAGUGGUCCGGCCGGGUCAAGUGCUAGAGCUUGUGGUAAGCACUCCACGUGGGAGAGUGUGACUUGCGGGUCACCACUAGCAAGAGGACCGGCGGCAACCUUGGAGCUUGUCUCAACGGGGACGUAGCUUGGUGGCAACCAAGUGAACCUCGGGAGAAAAUCAUCGUGUCAACUUUGUUCUUCCCGUUGGUUUGCAAGUCCCUAACACAAGCUUGUGUUUACAUUCAUAUACUUGUGCUUGUGUAGUUGCUCUUGUAAUUAGUUAGCUUGUGUAGCUUGCUAGUUACCUUCUUGCUUGUGUAGCUAGAAGUAGUUCCCCUUGCGUGACUAAUUUGGUUUGUGUAACCUUGUUAGUCACAUUGCUUAGUUUGUGUAGCUAAGUAAGUUGUGCUCUCUAAUUUGGCAUUAGUUGCCUUGUUAUUGAGCUUGCUAGUGAGCUUAGGCUUUGUGCGCUUUGCCUCACUAGUUUGUGUAGGAGCUCCCUCGGUUUGUAAAGUACUAGUUGCAUAGGUUUGUGUGACCUUGCUCCUAGAAUUGUUUAGGUGAGCUCUUGCUAAGGUGGCACCUUGCUUGCUUGUUUAGGAUCUUUUCAAGGUGCUAGAGAACUUAGAUAGAGGGGUGUAGUCUUGGCUAGACCGAUAGUUUUAAUUCCGCAUUUGUUUCGGUUAGCCGGCGUAGUAAAUUUUAUAAAGGACUAUUCACCCCCCUCUAGUCCGCCAUCUCGACCCUUCAAAGUGCAUGGGCUCUGUUGGUGGAAAACACCAACAGAACCAAAAGUGUAUUUGUUCUUCUCUAAUCUUAAGCAUAGUGAGCAAGACAAAGUUGAUGGAUCAUGAGUGUAGCGUUUGUUAGAUCAGAUGGCUCAACCUAAUGGAAAGAUAAUCUAUCUAUAUUUAUGUUUUGCUUAUAUCUUCCAAAGAUUGAAUGUACAACAUUUUAGCUUAUAUGAUUAGGAGUGUGGGAUCACGAAGGUAGUACUAAGAGCAAAUGUUAAAGGACUAAACAUGCUGAAUCAGUUGGGUUGGUUAAUUUGGAGUUGUAAAUCAUACAUGUUUGUCUCUUUAUUUAUGUGAAUGCAAGAACCAAGGAGAAGCUUAUAAAAGCGAUAGUCAAGUACCUUAAGAGGUUAUCUUAAUUGAAGAGUGAUGGUUCCAUCUCACCUUGUGGAAGCUUCCCAUUCGUAAUGGGUGUCUAUCUUGUUUAUGUACUUUGUCUCCUUCCAUGGAUCAUCUCUCUAUGAUGAAUGAGCUAUGUCUUCCUUGUACAAGUCGUUAAAUUUCAUGUGUCUCCUUUAUCUCCAAUGUGAGUUUGUAUCUCAGGACUUCCCAAAUUGAUAUUGAAAGUUUUUCUGCAGGGGUUAGUCCUACAAAAUAUACCAAUGUCUACACAAGCAGUUUUUAGUUCAAUAACCGAACUAGACUCCAUGUCUAAUCAGAUUAAGGAAGGUUGUUUAACCUAAGCACCAUGCUUAAUUUAAAAGCCAAUAGAAGUAUGUGCAGUACUUCCAAACUAACACUUACUAGGAUAAACAAAGGUAGCGUGAUGGCAUUUAUAGAGAUCUACUCAAGUGAAGAUAAAGUAGUGUGAUUAGUAUUUAAUCAAUUGAGCAUGUCUCAAAGGUAAGGACAACCAACAUAGUAACAUGACAAAAGAUGUUUUUAUGUGAAGUACUCCCCCAAGCUUGAAUUUUGCAAAAUUCAAGAUUGGAUGAAUUUAAAUCAAUGUUGCAUGAUGAUUGGUUGGACAUACCUUGUGCUUGUCAUUCCUCGGAUCUUCUUGCUCCAAUCCUAGAAGGGUUAGUGACAAGAAUACCCGAAGGAAUAUUUCUACAAUUAUCUUUAUAUGCUCCAAACACAAGGCAAUGUUGCAAAUAAUUAGAAGUUCAUGAUACGAUCUGAUCAGUGCUUGUUUUAGGACACUAAGCUUGUCCUUGGAAAACCAUCAAUUAACUCAACGAGAUCUACAAUAUUUAUUAUAGACAUAUGCAUCGACAACUGCCCUUUUAAAGUUUUUAUAAAUAGAAAGGAAGAGGGGGUUGGAGAUCUCAAAUGUGGUAAGGAUGGAGAGACCAAUUGAUUGGAGAGAUGUUUUAUAUGAGCAAGGACUGGGUGAUGUAUUUAUGAAAUAACUUCCAUGCUCACUGUUGUUUCUCUCAUUCUCAAAAUCCAAGGAUGAUUCUUCAUGAAUGCUUAAAAUUCCUCUAGGAUUGUCUCUCAAGUUUGUUUUAUCCAUCCAUUCAAUGGUGAUAGCACAUGGAUUUUUAAUGCCCUCUAGCCAUUGAUGUUGCUCUUCUCGAUGCUCCUUGUGGUCUUGGUGACUCUUAUGAAUGGGAUGUCUAGAUAGAUUCAUAGGAUUAUCGGGAGGUUCAAGAGAAAGAGCGUAGUAGAAAUUAUUAGGCUCAAGGAUGGGUUGGAUAGCCGAAACAUGGGAUUGGAAUGUUUGGAAAUUGGCUAUUGAAACUUCCUUUUCUUGUCUGGGAGAUGAUUCCUUCUCUAUCUCUAAGAUUUUUCUAUGAAGACUAGUACAAGAAGGAUGUCCAUGAAUGAAGAUAUACCUUCCUUUACUAAUAGAUAAAGAAAGAAAGACUCUACCAAAGGUUAUAUGAUUAAGACCAAUAUGAAAAUAUCGAGAAAAAACAUGGUCUUGUAGGGCUAGGUUUAAACCAGAAUUUAUAGAAAGAUUAACAGAUUCCCUAGGUGUAGCUAAAAGUGCAUUAUCUUCUUGAUUAAAAGAUAGGACCUCAGCUAUAGAAAAGGGUUGGUUUUGACCUAUUGCAAUCAACUCCGGACACAGAUCAUAAUUAGGGGUAGGACUUGUUGACUCCCAUGGUCUAUGGCUGGUCUCCGAAGGUGCAAAUAAUUCAAUAAUAGGUGUGGAAUUUAAGUUAUCCAUAAAGAUGAAAAAAGUAAAAAGAUAAAAGAAUAAAAGAAUAAAAGUGUAAUACAAGAUAAUAGCAAGAUUCAAAGUUAUCUCAGCAAACCGUCUUUCUCCCCGGCAACGGCGCCAGAAAUGCUUGUUGAUAUUUGGUAACGCAAUCAGGAAAUGAUCCGCAAGCGCACGGAUAUCGGUGAGCAUUUCACCCGGGAGGUUUUCCAGAGUAUCGUAUUUAUAUUUUUACCACUGGGAGAAAGAGUGCAUCUGACUAACCAAAUCUAUUGCUACUAUCCCUUUAGGCUACAAAGAAUGUUUCUCGAUGUGAGUGAUGUAUAGAGAAGACUGAACCGUAGUCUCGUUCUAACCUUGGUAAGGAUGAUCUAUUGUUCUAUUGGGGAAGCUUACGGAAUCUAGACACCACAAAGGAUGUUCGACCCGCACCUAUAAACCUACCCGUCAUGCUAACGAGAUGUGGGAUACAAAGGUAACUCGGAAAUGUCAUGUUCCUCGCUACUACCACGGUCCAGCUAGUCAGGGGAUAUCUAUGAGUACCCUAGCCUAAACACCACGUUUACGCUAGCAAUGAUUACUCUAAUACUCAACCGGAAUAGAUUAAAGUAAACUCAUAAACCAAAGAACAAAAAAACAAGAACUUACUAGAAUUAGAAGUCGAAUUACUGAUGAAUCCUAGGAGCAAGCCUCGGGUUAGAAGACUUGAUCCCGUAGGUACAACUCGGAGUAGACACCGACAGGCCGGCCUUCCUCCGAUCUACACCUCCACUCUAUCUCUCUCAAUCUAGUAGAAACUAGAAGAUCUAUUUCUACUCACAUUGGUUGCUAAGCCUAAAAAGAAAUUCUAUUUAGAGAAGAGGUUUUCCUUCGAGGGCACCCCUCAACUCUAUGAUAAAGUUGUCUCCUCCAGGGGCCAGGGGGUCUGCUUAUAUAGUUGUUGACGGUUCUUAAGUAUCAAUUUUAAUUAUCAAAUAAACAAGAGAAAGGACCAAUAUGCAACCAUCACCUAGAAUUAGGGUUUGAUCUGACAGAAUUCCACGAGUUUUGUUGUUUAUCUGUUUUUGCAGGGGGUUAUCAGGAAAUAAGGAAGAAAGGCCCACAUGUCGGGAUUACAUAGAGAUAUCAACGCAUCGCGUAAUUUUACAUCAUCUAGAAGACUCCAGAAGCCACGAGACCGAAGCGGAGGCAAAACUGGGCCAGGCCCAGGGCGCCCGCCCUGGUAGCCUGGGCGCCCGCCCCCCUGUUGGAGCCAAAUCAGGACUCUUUCGCUCGGGAUAUUCCACCGACCUAUUGGAUCAAGAAAAACAUAGUACCACCUCGCCUAUUGACCCAAAAACGCAUAGAAGGGGAGGACUAUAUAAGCAAGGCCCCCUGGCCCCUAGAGAGGACAUGAAGAAAUUAUCAUAGAGACUGAGGGGUGCCCUCGAAGGAAAACCUCUUCUCUAAUUAAUAUUUCUUUUUAGGCAUAGCAACCAAUGUAAGGUAGAAAUAGAUCUUCUAGUUUCUACUAGAUUGAGAGAGAUAGAGUGGAGGUGUAGAGUGGAGGAAGCCCGGCCUGUCGGUGUCUACUCCAAGCUUGUACCUGCGGGAUCAGGUUCUCCUAACCCGAAGCUUCCUCCUAGGAUUCUUCAGUAAUUCGACUUCUAAAUUCUAGUAAGUUCUUGUUUUAUUGUUCUUAUGGUUUAUGAGUUUACUUUAAUCUCUUCGCGUAGAGUUUAGAGUAAUCAUUGCUGGCGUAAACGUGGUGUUUAGGCUGGGGUACUCAUAGAUAUUCCCUGACUAGCUGGACCGUGGUAGUAGUGAGGAACGUGACAAUUCCGAGCUACCUUUGUAGAUCACAUCUCGUUAGCAGGAAGGAUAGGGUUUAUAGGUGCGGGUUGAACAUCCUUUGUGGUGUCUAGAUUCCGUUAGCCUCCCCAUUAGAACAGUAGAUCAUCCUUACCAAGGUUAGAAGGAGACUAUGGUUGCAGUCUUCUCUAUUUAUCACUCACAUCGAAAGACAUUCUUUGUGCCUAAAGGUUAGUAGUAAUAGACCGGUUAGUCAGAUGCACUCUUUCUCCUAGUGGUAAAAAAAUAAAUACGAUACUCUAGAUAAUUUCCCGGGUGAAGUGCUCACCGAUAUCCGUGCGCUUGCGGAUCAAUUCCUUAUUGCGUUCCCAAAUAUCAACAAGCAUUUCUGGCGCCGUUGCCGGGGAAGAAAGACGGUUGCUGAGAUAACCUGUGUCUUGCUACUAGCUUGUAUCUAUACUUUUAUCUUUUCUUAUCUUUUAUUUAUUUUCUUUACUUUUACCUUAUGGAAAACUAAAAUUCUAAAUCGAUCCAUGAGUCUGCAAUCCCUUUAGCAACUGACCUUUUACCAUGGGAAUCAUCACAGCCUAUCCAAACAUCCCAGUAUAAGUUAAGUUCUAGGUUGAUUGCCAUGAUUCAAAACCUAUCUUUUUUGGGAAAGGAAGACGAAAACCCUUACCUUCAUAUUAGAGAUUUUGAGCAAACAUGUGAUUGUCUUCGCAUUGAAGGCAUUUCUGAUAAGACUUUACGUUGGAAGCUUUUUCCUUUUUCUCUAAGGGGAGAAGCUAGACAAUGCUACAGUCAGAAGGUAAGUCAACAACAAGGUGAAUGGGGAGUUUUACGAGCCAACUUUUGCCCAGAUUUCUAUUCCCUUAUAGCCAACCUUAGACUCGAAGUCCUAUCUUUUAAACAAAAAGAUAAUGAAACUUUGGGAAAAUCCUAGAAACGGUUUUCUGAUCUUUUAGAAUCUGGUCCAAACCUUAAUUUUGAAGACCCUGUUAUUUUAUUUCACUUUUUUCGAGGUCUUCAGAAAAAUCACAAACAAAUGCUACAUACAAUGUCUAGAGGUUCUUUCUUUCGCAUCCCUGCUGAUGAAGCAAGAGUGAUCCUAGAUAGAAUCCUAGAAGCUGAGAUGGAUAAUACCCUUCAUGAUGAAACCUACGAAGCCAAAGUAGACACUCUGCCAAAUUCUUCAUCUACUUUAGCUAUCCCAAGUUCUGAGCCACAAGAGGAAGAAAUUCCACUACCGGACUUCAUGCUGGAUAUAGAAUCCGAUCUUUUUGCCGAUUUUGGAAAUAUUUCAAACUACCAUUCUAUUGACAAACCCCAAAACGGCCAAUUUAGCAUUUAUUUACCAAGUGAAUAUCAAUUGAGAGACCUUAUCUCAGUCAUGCGUAGCGAAUGGUUGGAGGAAUCAGAGCUUUCCUCUGAUGUGAUCCGUUUGGACACACCCUCUAUAACUAUACGCUGUGCUUAUAAUUUUGAUCGAUUUAAUGCUCUCUAUAAUCCUGUUGGGGGAUCAACAUUAUGUCUGAAUCCUUUGCACUUAAACUACUUAAAAAUCUUAUCUUAACCCCCACAACAAAGGUCAUAAAGGAAUCUUCGGGACGAUUAGUCCCCAGUCUUGGAAUUAUUAAUAUCCUACCUCUUACAGUAGAAGGCUCCAUGGUUCAUUUGAACUUCUAUAUCUUUGAUACAUGGGACUUCGACCUGUUGAUAGGACAACCUUUUAGAAGACUCCUUUAUGAAGGUCAUACUGGAAAGCUACACAUUUCUUUUGGAAAAACCUUUAAAAUCCCAAUAAUAAUUUCAUACUCCUUAAACAAUAAGGCCGAGUCAUAUCUUUUGCCUGAUCCUAUGGAGGAAGUAAAGGCUGCAUCUCUAGAGCUUUUAGAUGAACUAGACUUAGAAGACGAAACUCCUUUCUUCACAGAAGAAGAAGACGAACAUUCCGAGCCUGAACCCUUAGAUGAGUUUGCAGAAACACCUAGACCCCCCAUAGAACUUAAAACUUUACCACCCGGUCUUACCUAUGCUUUCCUAAACAAUAAUCCAGAGUUCCCUGUGAUCAUUAGCGAUAAACUCACUCAGGAUCAAACUCUACGAUUAAUGACCAUCCUUGAGAAACAUCACUCGGUUUUCGGCUACUCACUUCAAGAUCUUACAGGAAUCAGUCCUAUGAUUUGUACCCAUCGUAUUCCAACAGAUCCUUCUAUUACACCCUCUCGAGAACCCCAACGUAGACUUAAUAAUACUAUGAGAGAGGUAGUUAAAAAGGAAGUUAUAAAGUUGCUGCAUGCAGGGAUUAUAUAUCCUGUGCCGCACAGUGAGUGGGUGAGCCCAGUACAAGUUGUGCCCAAAAAGGGAGGCAUGACAGUUAUUAUGAAUGAAAAGAAUGAGCUAAUUUCGCAACGCACCGUCACAGGAUGGCGGAUGUGCAUAGACUAUAGAAAACUAAAUAAAGCCACGAGAAAGGAUCACUUUCCUUUACCUUUUAUAGAUGAGAUGCUAGAGCGGUUAGCAAACCAUUCGUUCUUUUGUUUCUUAGAUGGAUAUUCAGGGUAUCAUCAAAUCCCGAUCCAUCCCGAUGAUCAAAGCAAAACCACUUUUACAUGCCCUUAUGGAACUUAUGCUUAUCGUAGAAUGUCUUUUGGGUUAUGUAAUGCACCAGCUUCUUUUCAAAGAUGCAUGAUGUCUAUAUUUUCUGAUAUGAUUGAAGAGAUUAUGGAAGUUUUCAUGGAUGAUUUCUCUGUUUAUGGAAAAACUUUUGAUAGUUGUCUUGAAAACUUAAACAAGGUUUUGCAAAGAUGUGAACAAAAGCACUUAAUCCUUAAUUGGGAAAAAUGUCAUUUUAUGGUUAGAGAAGGAAUAGUGCUAGGACACUUAGUGUCUGAAAGAGGUAUUGAGGUAGACAAAGCUAAAAUUGAAGUAAUUGAACAACUACCUCCACCUGUGAAUAUAAAAGGAAUUCGAAGCUUUCUUGGCCAUGCUGGUUUUUAUCGUAGAUUCAUAAAAGAUUUUUCAUUUAUUGCUAGACCACUUACUCUUUUGCUAGCCAACGAUGCUCCUUUCGAAUUUGAUGAUGCAUGUUUAACAUCUUUCAAUUUAUUAAAGAAAGCACUCAUCUCUGCACCAAUCAUUCAACCCCCUGAUUGGUCAUUACCUUUUGAAAUUAUGUGUGAUGCUAGUGAUUAUGCUGUGGGGGCAGUAUUGGGACAAACUAAAGAUAAGAAGCAUCAUGCAAUUGCUUAUGCCAGUAAAACUUUGACAGGAGCUCAACUUAAUUAUGCAACCACUGAAAAAGAGCUCCUGGCUGUUGUCUUUGCCAUAGAUAAAUUUAGAUCUUAUUUAGUUGGAGCUAAAAUAAUUGUUUACACUGAUCAUGCUGCACUAAAAUAUUUGCUCACUAAAAAAGAUGCUAAACCUCGCCUGAUUAGAUGGAUCUUAUUACUCCAAGAAUUUGACUUAGAAAUAAAAGAUAAAAAGGGAGUAGAAAAUUCUGUUGCUGAUCACUUGUCUAGAAUGUAUUUUAAGAGUCCACAGGAAACCCCAUCAAUGAAUCACUCCGGGACGACAUGCUCUACGGGAUUAACAGGUCUGACCCCUGGUAUGCAGAUAUUGUUAAUUUUAUGGUUUCAGGGUAUGUACCACCAGGAGUAAACAAGAAGAAGCUUAUUCAAGAAAGUCGUUCACAUAUAUGGGAUGAGCCAUACCUCUUCCGAGUAUGCUCUGAUGGCUUACUCAGGAGAUGUGUGACCAGUGAGGAAGGAUGGAAGAUCAUCGACAGAUAUCAUUGAUCACCAUAUGGAGGUCACUAUGGAGCAUUCCGUACACAUUCAAAGAUCUGGCAGUGUGGAUUCUAUUGGCCUACAAUGUAUGAAGACACAAAGCAAUAUAUUAGAAGAUGUGGGCCAUGUCAAAGGCAUGGAAACAUAAAUACAAGGGAUGCAAUGCCACUCACCAACAACCUUCAGAUUGAGCUCUUUGAUGUCUGGGGAAUAGACUACAUGGGUCCAUUUCCUCCAUCAAAGAAGUGUGAGUACAUCUUGGUGGCAGUUGACUAUGUCUCCAAGUGGGUAGAAGCAUUACCUUGCAAGCAUGCAGACAACGUCAGUUCAAAGAGGGUGUUCGAAGAAAUUAUAUUUCCAAGAUUUGGAGUCCCCAGAGUAGUGAUAAGUGAUGGAGGAGCUCACUUCAUCGACAAACGCUUCAAGCAAUAUCUAUCAAGACAUGGAAUCCGUCACAACGUCGCUACCCCCUAUCAUCCUCAGACAAGUGGCCAAGCAGAGACUUCCAACAAACAAAUCAAGAAUAUUCUUCAGAAGACAGUAAGUGAAAUGGGAACAGCGUGGAAAGACAAGUUACCCGAUGCACUCUGGGCAUACCGGACAGCAUACAACACCCCAAUUGGAAUGUCUCCAUACCAACUGGUGUACGGGAAGACUUGCCAUCUACCUGUUGAACUAGAGUUCAAAGUGCACUGGGCCAUAAAGAGAUGGAAUAUGGACCUAGAUGUUGCUGGAGAUUAUAGAAGAAUGCAACUAUCAGAAUUGGAAGAAUGGCGAGAGAAAACAUAUCACAAUUCGAAGAUCUACAAAGAAAGAGUCAAGAGGUGGCAUGACAAGAGAAUCAAGAAGAAGGAGUUCACACCCGGAGAUAAGGUAUUACUUUUUAAUUCUAGGGUGAAGCCUUUCGGGCAUGGAAAACUCUGGAGCAAAUGGGAAGGACCAUUCAAGGUAAUCAAUUCAUCAUCCCACGGAGCUAUCACACUUCAAAACAGCGAAGGUACGUUAUUCAAGGUAAAUGGUCAACGUCUUAAAUUAUUUUUAGAGCCCAAUGAGGAAUUUGAAGAAAUAGACGUAGUCCAUUUUUACCUUCCCAUGGAGAAUUAGAGCCCGAUAUUUUUGGUCUGAUGGUUUUGGGUCAUAUAUAUAUUUUUCUAAAUAAUUUCGCAUCUACAAAUACGCUCGGAGAAGUGGGCCCACAGAGGGGCCAGAGAGAGGGUGGGCGCCCAGGUCAAGUGGGCGGGCGCCCAGCCCCUGUUCCCCCUCGGUCCCGACUUUCUCUGUUAUGGAAAAUGCACUUAGGGUGAUCCGAAUAAUCCCUCGGAUGGAAAGUUUCGCACGCACAUCGACGGGAGCAACCCGAACAACCCAUAGAGGCAUCCUUUUGACCCCUAUAUAAACAGACCCCUGACCUUAGUUUUCAAACACCAAGCCACCAAGCUUUCUCUCCUUCAAUUAGAGCUUGAUUAGCUCUCCUUCAAUUAAAAUUUUAUUAGUUCCUUGCUACUCCAAUGGCCAAGAAGUACCACGAUGAUUGGGAAGUCGUCCCCUUCAACCUCAACAUAGAGCCUGUGGAAGACCCCGAUGCCCGUGCUCUCGUCCCGGCCAACACAGAGCGACAGCUAGAAGCCAUGCCAUUACGCCAACGCAGCGCCACGAGACCGAAGCGGAGGCAAAACUGGGCCAGGCCCAGGGCGCCCGCCCUGGUAGCCUGGGCGCCCGCCCCCCUGUUGGAGCCAAAUCAGGACUCUUUCGCUCGAGAUAUUCCACCGACCUAUUGGAUCAAGAAAAACAUAGUACCACCUCGCCUAUCGACCCAAAAACGCAUAGAAGGGGAGGACUAUAUAAGCAACGCCCCCCUGGCCCCUGGAGAGGACAUGAAGAAAUUAUCAUAGAGACUGAGGGGUGCCCUCGAAGGAAAACCUCUUCUCUAAUUAAUAUUUCUUUUUAGGCUUAGCAACCAAUGUAAGGUAGAAAUAGAUCUUCUAGUUUCUACUAGAUUGAGAGAGAUAUUGUGGAGGUGUAGAGUGGAGGAAGCCCGGCCUGUCGGUGUCUACUCCAAGCUUGUACCUGCGGGAUCAAGUUCUCCUAACCCGAAGCUUGCUCCUAGGAUUCUUCAGUAAUUCAACUUCUAAAUUCUAGUAAGUUCUUGUUUUAUUGUUCUUAUGGUUUAUGAGUUUACUUUAAUCUCUUCGCGUAGAGUUUAGAGUAAUCAUUGCUGGCGUAAACGUGGUGUUUAGGCUGGGGUACUCAUAGAUAUUCCCUGACUAGCUGGACCGUGGUAGUAGUGAGGAACGUGACAAUUCUGAGCUACCUUUGUAGAUCAUAUCUCGUUAGCAGGAAGGAUAGGGUUUAUAGGUGCGGUUUGAACAUCCUUUGUGGUGUCUAGAUUCCGUUAGCCUCCCCAUUAGAACAGUAGAUCAUCCUUACCAAGGUUAGAAGGAGACUACGGUUGCAGUCUUCUCUAUUUAUCACUCACAUCGAAAGACAUUCUUUGUGCCUAAAGGUUAGUAGUAAUAGACUGGUUAGUCAGAUGCACUCUUUCUCCUAGUGGUAAAAAAAUAAAUACGAUACUCUGGAUAAUUUCCCGGGUGAAGUGCUCACCGAUAUCUGUGCGCUUGCGGAUCAAUUCCUUAUUGCGUUCCCAAAUAUCAACAAUAGUCCUCCUCCUCUAUGCAUUUUUGGGUCAGCAGGCGAUGUGGUACUACGUUAUCCUUGAUCCUUUAGGUCGGUGGAACGUCGUGUGCGAAAAAAAGGGCCGAUUGGCAUCCAGAGGGGGGCGGGCGCCCAGGUCCUCAGGGCGGGUGCCCUGGGCCUGGCCCCUUUCGGCUUCUGCUUUCUUCCCGUGGCUUCUCGAGUCUUCUAGUUGGUAGAAAAUUGUGCGGUGCGUUGAUAUCUCUAUGUAAUCCCGACGUGUGCGCCUUUCUUCCUUAUUUCCUGAUAACCCCCUACAGAAAUAGACAACCACCAAAACUCGUGGAAUUCUGUCAGAUAAAACCCUAAGUCUGGGUGUUGGUUGCAUUUGGAUCCUUUUCUUUAUUUAUUUGAUGAUUAUAUUUGGUACUUAAGGACCGUCAACGGACAUAUUGAUCUUGAUGAUGAAUUGGUCCCACCGGGCGUGCCAAAAGAUGUGUUGAUGCAAAAGUGGAUCUGCAAACACAAAGGGCUAAUACCCUAUUCAAUAUUAGGGCGUGCCAGCCGAUUUGACCUUACAAUCGACAAAGGUGGUAACUCGAAUACUUUGGUCCCGACAACAACGAUGCGCCCAGAUGUCACGGCCAAGAGGUAUUCAAUCGGAACUCGAGAACUCGUCGAGUAUGACUCGAAGAAUUCUUAAGAACUCGUAAGUAAAAGGAAAAAAAUAUGCGGGUUGACGAAGUCAUCGAGAAAGUAGAUGCAAAAGUAUAUGUAAAGCUUGUAUUUGAUAUUGAUUGAGUUUUUUCUUACAUCGCUACUAAGCCUAUAUUUAUACUCUGUCCUUAAGAGUUACAACCAGAUACGACUAGGAUCCUAAUUCCAAAUCAAACAAAACUCAUACAUAAAAUAAACUCUAACAAUUAUGGAAAACAACAAUUUAUCAAUCCUGGAUGAUCGGCACACCACCAUUGUCCCCUGACGCCUCCUAUGUCUUCCUUCAUCAUCAUCGGUCAUCGGCAUCAAUCAACCACUGUUCCUGAACUUAACCAUAUCUUCCUUCUGUCAUUGGUAUCAUAGGUCAUCAGCAACUCCCUUAUCGGUCAAGCAUUACUUUUCUAGCUGCCAAUCCAAGCUUCAUUAACUUUCCUGAUACGUAUCAAAAACGGUGUCAACAGAAACUUUUCAGUUGGAACUAACGGUUCCUCGCCUAGGAGUGUUAAUGCUAAAUUCUUAGACAUUAUAGAUGCUCCUUGUUGACACUUGCUAACACAACUUUAAUACUAGGUUGUCAUCCCCAGCAUGGCACUAGAGUGUACUAUAGUAUUUAUUCGCACACAGAUAAAUCCGCAAGCGCACGGAUACCGUUGUAGCUUUUACCCGGUUAAAGGUUUUAUCGUAUCCACAUAGAAACAGGAGAACUGAUCUACGCUCUAACUUAACCUAGAUAGAUAGGUAGGUGUAAAUAGAAAAGAUAGUAGAAUUGAGUAAGAACCAUCAAUUUAUGUCAGCGAAGUGGUUUCCCUUCCAACGCUGACCUAUAUCAAGAUCAACUCAACGAGAUCUGCGAUAUUUAUUAUAGACAUAUGCAUCGACAACUGCCCUUUUAAAGUUUUUAUAAAUAGAAAGGAAGAGGGGGUUGUAGAUCUCAAAUAUGGUGAUGUUGGAGAGACCAAUAGAUUGGGAAGAUAUUGCAUAUGACCAUGGAGUAAAUAAAGUCUAAUUCUACUUGUGCUCUUUUGAUGGAUACAUACCUUUCUUGCUCUUUUGAAACUUUUUGAGGAGAAUGAGAUGCUCUAUAUUUUCUUUUUCUUUUCUCUCAGGUGGGUAUCUUGUACCCCUAAUUCUACUGUCGGACACUUGUCCAUUUUUACCUCUCGUCUCACUUUUUCUUUUCUUUCGAGGUUCCGGGCACUUGCCCAUUUUUAUUUCCUCGUAUCUUCUCUUUUUUUAGAGUACUCACCUCUUUAAAUAAUGUAGCAAGUGGUAGUAACCGAAAUAUCUUGAGCAUUUAUUUCACAGGGGAAAACAGAAAUAGGACAAUGUUUUUGGCUAUUCUCUCCCGGAUUAGGAGUAGAAUAUUUUUGGGUAAAUCUGGAUAUGGAAAUGAGUGGAUGUAUGUGGAUGCGUACUUCCAGAGUAGAAGCAGCAUGUGUGAGUGAACGUGCAAGUGAAUCUUGAUUUAACCACAUGAUAAGCUCCUAAGGGUCUACACAGCUUGACCACACUUAAUGCUCAUAAGCAGUAAAAAGUAAAUGAAUGGUUCAUAGUCUAAUAAGCAUGUAUAUAUGGCUGUGAUACGAAUUUAAACUCUCAUCAUACAGGAACUCAUCAUGUUAUAUUUUAAAGAUUUUCAAAGAUAAAAUUCUCCAGAAUUAUAGCAUCUCUAGGAACAGAUAAACAGCAGCUCAACCUUCCCAUAUCAUAUCCGUUAACAACUUAGACUUUAGAUCAAGUACUCUUCCCACAAGUUCAGGUUUAGAGCAAAUCUUAAUUAAUAAUAGUCAUGUCUAAACUUGAGAGAGAUUUCAAUUUUGAGAACUAGUCAUGGCAGAGCAACUAUUCAUCAUUUCCAUGUGAGAGCUUAUCAUGAGGGUUCAUAACAAACUUUAUUUAUUUAUUUAUUUAGCAAACUAAGCAAAUAUAUAUAUAUAAGCACAAAAUCUUUAUUUGGGUUUUUAUGAUUAUGCAUCUUUUUAUUAUUUGAGUAAAGUAUAAACAUGAGUAGAACACUUAGCUGGAUAAAUGGGGGUGCUCUCCGCCAAGCUGGAUUUUGACGUAAUUUCUUCUGAUGUAGCUAGCAAGUGGCGGAGGUGUAUUUGAAUGUCGACAGCACCAUGACAGCGAUUAGGAUGUCCUUCGUCUGCUAGUCUUCUUUGAUCCUUGAAUUCAGUGGAGCUCAAAUAGACAACAAAGCUUUGUGGAACUGGUUAAGUGUUAGCAUAAAAAUCUCUUUGCCUUUAUCAUGUUAAGCCUCCUCAAUAAAUGUUACUUUCUUUGGUAGGAUCAUAAAUUUAUUUUUAUAUUUUCAUUUUUAUAGGACAGGAAUAUUUUUAUUUUUACGCCACCAAAUGAAUAUACUUAUGGGUUUUAUGCCACGAGCAUACUUAUAUAGGGCUUACUGUUUUUAACAUUUCUAAUUUCUAUUCAAGAUAGCAUAAUUAACUAACAGGCUAUUUAAGGAAAAUAAAUAAUUUAAGAAAAAAGAAAAUGCAUAAAGGAUAAAUAUGGAUAACUACUGAUUUUACCUUCCGGCGAGGGUUCGAUGUUUUAAGUCUUCUUAACAAGACUUCUCACCAUGUUCAUUCUUUAGUUGCGUCAUUUGAUUCAGGUGUGGACCUUGACGUCUGCACCUCUUGAUACGGUGUCACCCAUGUUCUUCGUUUGCCCAGCAGUUCGAAGUGCGGCAUUGGUAGCAUCCUACUCAGUGUGUUUGUGCUCGUAGAUCUAGGUCCUUCACUUGGUGGAAUUUGGGAGUUGUAAAACUCCACCAUGUUUUGCUCCAAGUGUACCUGCUCAUAGAGACAAGGCAAAGAUCAAGUGCAUGGGCCCUGCUGGUGGAAAACGCCAACAUAACCAAAAGUGUAUUUGUUCUUCUCCAACCUUAAGCACAGUGAGCAAGACAAAGUUGAUGGAUGUUGGGUAUUUUAAACGCAAACAAAAAAAUCCGCAAGCGCACGGAUACCGAUGUAGCUUUCACCCAGAAGUAUUCCAGUGUAUCGAUUUUCCACAGAGAACGUGAGUGUACUAAUUAAGAUCCAAGAUCGCCCAAGGAUAACUAUAUAAUUAUUUUUGGUAGGAAGAGAGGAAGUUUCCUGAGAGUUCUCUAGUUGAUCUAAGAAUCAAGAAUUACUUCAAGAUUAUCUAUAUCGGGACAUCAGAGCACUAACCACAGAAAGAGAUGAGAAGGGGGCUAGGAAGGUCUGACUACGGUCCUACAAACACCGAUCCGAACGUGGUGGAAUACGUCGACCGUUAGGGCUGUCACUACCCUAAGGCUACCACAACAAUCCGCAGGAUUGGGUGCAAUUCCAGGUAAUCGCAAGACUAAACAUCACGUCUAAUCUAUUAAUUACUACUCUAGCGUUAUAAAGACUAGAGCACUUGAUGCAAGCGGGAAUCCAAUAAAUAACUUGAAUGUAAAUAAAAGUAAUUAAAGAACUCAGGAAUUGUGAAUUGAAGAACCUGGAGAACGAUGAAGAACGAACCAGUUGCUGCAAAAGUAUAAUGUUGAGGAAGAUCCGACAGAUCCGGCUCCUCCUCCUCUGCUCUCCUCUUCUCUCACCCUAUUUUCUAGAUUACAACUAGAACUAACUAGAACUAGAACUAGAGGAACUAGAACUAGAACUAGAUGAACUAGAACUAGAUCUAGAUGAACUAGAGGUAGAACUAGAAGAACUAGAGGGAUCCUCUCUACUUGGUUGAAGAAUUGAAACCCUAGCUUUGAUUCUGUAGAAGAGGUAUGAUCUCCAGGGGCCAGGGGAGUCUGGUUUUAUAGUCCCUUCAAGUGAAUCUGGGCCGUCGGAUCAAACCGACAUUGAUCGUGUGGUUUUCCUUGAUCCUUUAGGUCGGUGGAGUGUUGUCCCUGAAUUGGACUCUGUUUGGUCCAGGGGGGAGGGCGGGCGCCCAGUAAGGGAGGGCGGGCGCCCAGUGCCCGGCUCCGUUACAUCUCCCGUUCGGUCCCGUGGCUUCUGGAGUCUUCUAGAUGAUAGAAAAUUGCGCGGCACGUUAAUAUCUCUAUGUAAACCCGACGUGUGGGCCUUUUUUCCGUAUUUCCUGAUAACUCCCUGCAGAAAUAGACAAACACCAAAACUUGUGGAAUUCUGUCAGAUAAAACCCUAAGUCUAGGUGUUGGUUGCAUUUGGAUCCUUUUCUAUGAUUAGUUGAUGGUUAAAUGUGAGCAUUAAGGACCGUCAACAAGCUCCCCCAAGCUUAACCUUUGCUCGUCCCUGAGCAAAGAUGAACUCAAGAGCUUCUGCAGUGGUUUCAUAACUUAAAGAUACACAUGCGUUUAAACAAGAUCUCAUCUCUAGGUUAGGGUAAACUGUUAAGAUUUAAAACUUACUCAUUUUACCUUCCACCAUGGGGCUUGCAACCGUCACUUGUGUCUUGAGCAGUUAAAAGAUAGAACGGUCAAGUCAAGCACCAUGUCUCUUGUUCUUUGAUCAACUAUAGCUCUAGAGUUUUUGCAGAUUUUCAAAUAAAACUCAGAGAUUCCUUGUAUGACUCUCUCUAGUCUCUCAUUUGUGGUAUUUCUGGAUCUUUACCAAGGCAGUAAUGGUAUAUGCCUUCUCUCAAAGUAUGUGGUAUUUGUGGUAUAAGGCAUAGUGACAUUGCCUUCUCUCUCACCCUACUCUAAUAAGGCUUUUGAUAUCUGGAGCUCAGAGGUGGGAGACAGCUAAUACAUACUUACAAGACAUUUAUUGCAUAGUCAAACCAUGGAUCCAAAAGAACAAGUCAAUAAGUCAAAUCAAGAUGUGCAUGUGUGGCGAAUGAAUGGUGUAUGGUGAUGAUGGUGAUAAUAAUGGUGAAAGUCUAAUUCUUCUUAUGCUCUUUUGAGGGGAUACAUACCUUUCUUGCACUUUUGAAACUUUUUGAGGAGAAUGAGAUGCUCUAUAUUAUUAUUUUUUUUUCUUUUCUCUCAGGUGGGUAUCUUGUACCCCUAAUUCUACUGUCGGACACUUGUCCAUUUUUACCUCUCGUCUCACUUUUUCUUCUUUUUUUUCUUUCAAGGUUCCGGGCACUUGCCCCUUUUUAUUUCCUCGUAUUCUUCUUUUUCUUCUCUUUUUUUCUUUAGAGCACUCGUCUCAUGAGAUAAUAUAGCAAGUGGUAGUAACAAGAUAACUUGAGCAUUUAUUUCACAGGGAAAAAAUAAAAAUAUUUUUGGCUAUUCUCUCCCGGAUUAGGAGUAGAAUAUUUUUGGGUGGUUCUGGAGAUGGAAAUGGGUAUAUGUGGAUGGUACUUCCAGAGUAGAAGUAGCAUGUAUGAGUGAACGUGCAAGUGAAUCUUGACUUAACCACAUGACAAGCUCCUAAGGGUCUACACAGCUUGACCACACUCAAUGCUCAUAAGCAGUAAAAAGUAAAUGUGUGGCUCAAAGUCUAGCAAGCAUGUAUAUAUGGCUGUGGUAGGAAUUUAAACUCUCAUCAUACAGGAACUCAUCAUGUGAUAUUUUAAAGAUUUUCAAAGAUAAAAUUCUCCAGAAUUCUAGCAUCUCUAGGAACAGAUAAACAACAGCUCAACCUUCCCAUAUCAUAUCCGUUAACGACUUAGACUUCAGAUCAAGUACUCUUCCCACAAGUUCAGGUUUAGAGCAAAUCUUAAUUAAUAACUGUGAUGCCUAAACUUGAGAGAGAUUUCAAUUUUGAGAACUAGUCAUGGCAGAGCAACUAUUCAUCUUUCCAUGUGAGAGCUUAUCAUGAGGGUUCAUAGCAAAUUUUAUUUAUUUAUUUAUUUAGCAAACUAAGCAAAGAUAUAUAUAUAUGCACAAAAUCUUUAUUUCGGUUUUUAUGAUUAUGCAUCUUUUUAUUAUUUGAGUAAAAUAUAAACGUGAGUGGAAUACUUAGCUGGAUAAAUGGAGGUGCUCUCCCCCAAGCUGAAUUUUGACGUAAUUCCUUUUGAUGUAGCAGGUGGCGGAGGUGUAUUUGAAUGUCGGCAGCACCCUGACAUUGAUUAGGAUGUCCUCCGUCUACUAGUCUUCUUUGAUGCUUUAAUUCUGUGGAGCUCAAAUAGACAACAAAGCUUUGUGGAACUAGUUAAGUGUUAGCAUAAAUAUCUAGCCUUUAUCAUGUUGAGCCUCCUCAAUAAAUGUUACUCUCUUUAGUAGGAUCAUAAAUUUAUUUUUAUAUUUUCAUUUUUAUAGGACAGGAAUAUAUAUAUUUAUUUUUACGCCACCAAAGUAAAUGUACUUAUGGGUUUUAUGCCAUGAGCAUACUCACAUGGGGCUUACUAUUUUUAACAUUUUUAUUUUCUUUUCAAGAUAGCUUGAACCUGAUUAACUAAGCAAACUAUUUUAAAUAAUUGAAAGGAAAAAGAUAACUACCAAGUUUACCUUUUGGCAAGGCGUUCGGUGUUUUUACGUCCUCCGAACGGGACUCUCCGUUUUCUUAGUCGUCCUGGAAUUCGCUGGAUGGCGUAGUCGGUGGUUCCGGCGGUGCCUGCUCUUCGUGUAUAACUAUCUUCUCUCUCUACACCUGCCUCGGUGCUACGGUCUCCUCAGGACAGUUCUAUUCAAGUUGUAUAUCUUCAGACCUUACAACUUCUCCUUCAUAGUCUACCCAUCCGUCCUUGAUGAUUUGCCUCCUCUGGUUGCGGUUGCGUCGUCUUCUUCUUGUCCUGACCUGCUUAGAGUCUUUAACUAUAUAGUUAGAGUCAGUAAAAUAGCGGCGUACCUUCUCAGAGGGGAAAUGCAUGUGGACUUCUCUGGUUCCAAUGUAGAUGAUUGCUUUAACGGUGUUGAGGAACAGUCUUCCAAGGAUGACGGGUGGAUUGUACUCGUCUUCUCCCAUGACAAUAACCUUAAAAUCAUCUGGAGCUGAAUGUAUGUUGGUUGUAGGGGCAUGGUUCCAUGCAGGAGUUGAUAAGUGACUGCGGCCAUUAUGUUGAUGUUAGAUCCGGUGUCGUAGAGUGUCUUCUGAAAAGAAUAUCCAUUGAUUGUGCACUCGAUGCUUGGAACACCAGGGUCGUCCUUCUUGAUCAAGAAAGGUGACUUGAGUUGACGAUCUUGACCUCCUUGAGCUGCAGCGACCAUCUUAGCUGACUCGGUACACAUUUGCUUGUUCCUAUUCCUCCUGUUGGUCCUCUUCCUUGGUUCAUGUCGGGAUUGCUCUGAGAUUUGUAUAGUCUUGUUCUUGAAGGAAAACAUCUCCUUCCUUCCCUUCAUGUAGAAACUGAUCUUGGCAGCACUAGCGUAGAUGAUAGCUCCCGAGGUGUUCAGGAAUGGCCUCCCUAGAAUGAUGGGUGCCCUCUCAUCAGUACCAGUCUCUAUCACUACGAAGUCUGCUGGGACGUACAAGGUACCAACUCGGACGUAGAGGUUCUUCAAUAUUCCCCUAGGCAUAAUGUUGACGCUCGAGCCAAAGUUGUAGAGUGCUUCUAGGAAGUCCACCAUGCCGAUGGAGAUCGGGAUGACGGGGCGUCCUGGAUUGUCUCUCUUGACCGGCAGAAGGUCAGUAAUUACUUCCACAACGGGGUUACUCCAGUAGUUACGUCCUCAAGCAUCUCAGGGCAGUGAUUGCCUGAGUAACCAGUAUCUCUAGUGUGUUUGUGCUCGUAGAUCUAGGUUCUUCACUUGGUGGAGUCUGGGAGUUAUAAAAGUCCUUCAUAUUUUGCUCGAAGUAUACCUGCUCAUAGAGACAAGGCAGAGAUCAAGUGCAUGGGCCCUGUUGGUGGAAAACACCAACAGAACCAAAAGUGUAUUUAUUCUUCUCUAACCUUAAGCAUAGUGAGCAAGACAAAGUUGUUGGAUAAUAAGAUCAUGAGUGUAGCAUUUAAAACAUUUGUCAGAUCAGAUCGCUUAACCUAAUGGAAAGAUAAUCAAUCUAUAUUUAUGUUGUUUUUUAUAUAUCUUCCAUAGAUUGAGUGUGCAAUAUUUUAGUUCAUAUGAUUAGGAGUGUGGGAUCACAAAGGUGGAAGGACUAAACAUAUUGAAUCGAUCGGGUUGGUUAAUCUAGAGUAGUAAAUCAUACAUGUUUGUCUCUUUUAUUCAUGUGAACGCCAGAACCAAGGAGAAGCUUAUAGAAGUGAUAGUCAAGUACCUUAAGAUGUUACCUUACUUGAAGAGUGAUGGUACAGUAUCACCUUGUGGAAGCUUUCCUUUCUUCGCGGUUGUGCAUCGUGUUUGUGGCACCCUCCAUGGAUCAUCUCUUGUGAGCUUUGCAUUCCUUGUGUAAAUUGUUAACCUUCAUGUGUCUCUCUAUUUGUCUCCAAUGUGAGUUUAUCUCAAGACUUCCCAGGUCGAUAUUGAAAGUUUUCCUGCAGGGGUUAGUCCAAUAAAAUAUCCAAUAUCUACUAUAGCAUACUAUCGGCUCAAAAAUCAAUCUAGACACCAUGUCUAAUUUGAUUUAGGAGGGAAUUUUAACCUAAGCAUCAUGCUUAAUUUAAAAUCCUUUGGAAGUAAGAGCAUCAUUCCUAAACUAAGCACCAUGCUUAAUUAAGAGAUAAAUGAAACUACUCCAAACCUAGACAUAUACUAAAGCAAAUAAAGGUAGCAUGAGAGCAUUUAUAGAGAUCUACUCAAGUGGAGAUAAAGUAGUGUGAUUAGUAUUUAACAAAUUGAGCAUGUCUCAAAGGUAGGGACAACCAACAUAGCAACAUGGCAAAGGAUGUUUUUAUGUAAAGUAUUCCCCCAAGCUUGAAUUUUGCAAAAUUCAAGUUUGGAUUAAUUUAAUUCAAUGUUGUAUGAUGAUUGGUUGGACAUACCUUGUGCUUGUCAUUCAUCUGAUCUUCUUGUUCCAAUCCUGGAAUGGUUAGUGACAAGAAUACCCGAAGGAAUUUUUCUACAAUUAUCUUUAUAUGCUCAAUACACAAGGCAAUGUUGCAAAUAAUUAAAAGCUCAUGUUACAAUUUGAUCAGUGCUUGUUUUAGGACACUAAGCUUGUCCUUGGGAAACCAUUAAUUUAAGUCGGCGAAGUGGUUUCCCCUCCAACGCUGACCUAUAUCGAGAUCUGCAAUAUUUAAUAUAGACAUAUGCAUCGACAACCGCCCUUUUAAAGUUUUUAUGAAUAGAAAGGAAGAGGGGGUUGGAGAUCUCGAAUGUGGUGAUGUUGGAGAGACCAAUGGAUUGUGAAGAUGUUGCAUAUGAGCAUGGAGUAAAUGAAGUGGCUAUGAAAUAAAUUCCAUGCUCAUUAAUGCUUAGAGUGAAAUCCAUGUGGUAUGGUGAAAGUGAUAAGGUGAGUGUGGUAAAAAAGGAAAAGAAAAAGGAUACACGGAUGACUUGGUUCGAAACUAGCACAGCUACCGUUCCCCGGCAACGGCGCUAGAAAGCUUGUUGGGUAUUUUAAACGCAAACAAAAAAAUCCGCAAGCGCACGGAUACUGAUGUAGCUUUCACCCGGGAGUAUUCCAGAGUAUCGAUUUUUCACAGAGAAUGUGAGUGUACUAAUUAAGAUCCAAGAUCGCCCAACGAUAACUAUAUAAUUAUUUUUGGUGGGAAGAGAGGAAGUUUCCUGAGAGUUCUCUAGUUGAUCUAAGAAUCAAGAAUUACUUCAAGAUUAUCUAUAUCGGGACAUCAGAGCACUAACCACAGAAAGAGAUGAGAAGGGGGCUAGGAAGGUCUGACUACGGUCCUACAAACACCGAUCCGAACGUGGUGGAAUACGUCGACCGUUAGGGCUGUCACUACCCUAAGGCUACCACAACAAUCCGCAGGAUUGGGUGCAAUUCCAGGUAAUCGCAAGACUAAACAUCACGUCUAAUCUAUUAAUUACUACUCUAGCGUUAUAAAGACUAGAGCACUUGAUGCAAGCGGGAAUCCAAUAAAUAACUUGAAUGUAAAUAAAAGUAAUUAAAGAACUCAGGAAUUGUGAAUUGAAGAACCUGGAGAACGAUGAAGAACGAACCAGUUGCUGCAAAAGUAUAAUGUUGAGGAAGAUCCGACAGAUCCGGCUCCUCCUCCUCUGCUCUCCUCUUCUCUCACCCUAUUUUCUAGAUUACAACUAGAACUAACUAGAACUAGAACUAGAGGAACUAGAACUAGAACUAGAUGAACUAGAACUAGAUCUAGAUGAACUAGAGGUAGAACUAGAAGAACUAGAGGGAUCCUCUCUGCUUGGUUGAAGAAUUGAAACCCUAGCUUUGAUUCUGUAGAAGAGGUAUGAUCUCCAGGGGCCAGGGAGGUCUGGUUUUAUAGUCCCUUCAAGUGAAUCUGGGCCGUCGGAUCAAACCGACAUUGAUCGUGUGGUUUUCCUUGAUCCUUUAGGUCGGUGGAGUGUUGUCCCCGAAUUGGACUCUGUUUGGUCCAGGGGGGAGGGCGGGCGCCCAGUAAGGGACGGCGGGCGCCCAGUGCCCGGCUCCGUUACGUCUCCCGUUCGGUCCCGUGGCUUCUGGAGUCUUCUAGAUGAUAGAAAAUUGCGCGGCACGUUAAUAUCUCUAUGUAAACCCGACGUGUGGGCCUUUUUUCCGUAUUUCCUGAUAACUCCCUGCAGAAAUAGACAAACACCAAAACUUGUGGAAUUCUGUCAGAUAAAACCCUAAGUCUAGGUGUUGGUUGCAUUUGGAUCCUUUUCUAUGAUUAGUUGAUGGUUAAAUGUGAGCAUUAAGGACCGUCAACAAUGGAUACUAAGAUCAUGAGUGUAGCAUUUAAAACAAUUGUCAGAUCAAAUCGCUCAACCUAAUGGAAAGAUAAUCUAUCUAUGUAUAUGUUUUUUUAUAUAUCUUUCAAAGAUUGAGUGUACAUCAUUUUAGCUAAUAUGAUUAGGAGUGUAGGAUCACAAAGGUGGAAGGACUAAACAUGUUGAAUCGAUUGGGUUGGUUAACCUAGAGUUGUAAAUCAUACAUGUUUGUCUCUUUUAUUCAUAUGAACGCCAGAACUGAGGAGAAGCUUAUAAAAGUGAUAGUCAAGUACCUUAAGAUGUUACCUUACUUGAAGAGUGAUGGUACAGUAUCACCUUGUGGAAGCUUUCUUUCUUAGCGGUUGUGCAUCGUGUUUGUGGCACCCUCCAUGGGUCAUCUCUCUAUGAUGAAUGAGCUAUGUUCUUUUUGUGCAAAUCGUUACACUUCAUGUGUCUCUCUCUCUUCAUCUUUGAUGUGAGUUUAUCUCAGGACUUCCCAUAUCGAUAUUGAAAGUUUUUUCUGCAGGGGUUAUUCCGACAAAAUAUACCAAUGUCUACACAAGCAGUUUUUAGUUCAAUAACCGAACUAGACUCCAUGUCUAAUCAGAUUAAGGAAGGCUAUUUAACCUAAGCACCAUGCUUAAUUUAAAAGCCAAUAGAAGUAUGUGCAGUACUUCCAAACUAACACUUACUAGGAUAAACAAAGGUAGCGUGAUGACAUUUAUAGAGAUCUACUCAAGUGGAGAUGAAGUAGUGUGAUUAGUAUUUAACAAAUUGAGCAUGUCUCAAAGGUAGAGACAACCAACAUACCAACAUUGCAAAGGAUGUUUUUAUGUAAAGUACUCCCCAAGCUUGAAUUUUGCAAAAUUCAAGUUUGGAUGAAUUUAAUUCAGUGUUGCAUGAUGAUUGGUUGGUCAUACCUUGUGCUUGUCAUUCAUCCGAUCUUCUUGCUCCAAUCCUAGAAAGGUUAGUGACAAGAAUACCCAAAGGAAUAUUUUCACAAUUAUCUUUAUAUGCUCAAUACACAAGGUAAUGUUGUAAAUAAUUAAAAGCUCAUGUUAUGAUCUGAUGAGUGCUUAUUUUAGGACACUAAGCUUGUCCUUGGGAAACCAUCAAUUUAUGUCCGCGAAGUGGUUUCCCUUCCAACGCUGACCUAUAUCAAGAUCAACUCAACGAGAUCUGCAAUAUUUAUUAUAGACAUAUGCAUCAACAACCGCCCUUUUAAAGUUUUUAUAAAUAAAAAGGAAGAGAGGGUUGUAGAUCUCAAAUGUGGUGAUGUUGGAGAGACCAAUAGAUUGGGAAGAUGUUGCAUAUGAGCAUGGAGUAAAUGAAGUGGUUAUGAAAUAAAUUCCAUGCUCAUUAAUGUUAUCUUCAUCUCCAAUCUGAAUGUUCGGGGUUUCUCCUGGAUUGGUCUCACCUAUGUCCUCUUCUCUAGUUGGAUGAAUCUCAUCUUCAAAGGGAGUCAAGAGCUCACCAUUUGAAAUUGAGCCAAAGUCAGAAUCCAUUAAGGCUUCUUCCUUAUCCAUCCAUUCUACACACUCUAGCCAUUUAGAACUUGUGAUCAGGAAAGGGGAGGUGUUAGAAUUUUCUAUAUGGCUUAGCUCUCCUUCUAUGACAUUACUUGACAUGUCAUCCUCAUGGUCUUUAUGACUCCUAUGGUUUGAUCGUCUUGAUAUAUUGUUAGGAUCAUCAUGAGACUUAAAAGGAGAGGGAUAAGAGGGGUCUCUAAGGUCAAGGAUGGAUUUAGAAUUUGUGAACAUGGAAGGGGAGCAGAUAGAAUCUUCUAUAUGGUUUAGCUCUCCUUCACUUGAUAUGUCAUCCUCGACUUCUUCAUAAUAGGAACCAGGACAUUCUCUAAGAUAACCAUCAUUGCAAUGAUUUGAAUUAUCUAUGCUUGAAAGUCUCUUAUGGAACCAAAGUCUAAACCAUCAGUAUCUGAAAGAUUUAAGGUUGGAAUUCCUUCCUCCCUUGGGAGAAUUUUGGGGUAUUGAUGGUUUAGGAUCGAUAGCUAAAGUUUGGGAUUGAAGUGUUUGUGAUCUGGCUAUCGAAACUUCUUCUUCUUGUCUAGGAACUGGUUCUUUCUCUUUCUCAUGGAUAAAAAAGGUAGGAAACUUUUCACUUAAUGAAUCAAUUAAAUCUCUAGCUUCACUAGCAGGCAGGUGAUAGAAGGAUCCUCUAGAGGCCGUAUUCAAGGUUUUCUUAUUUUCCCUACUAAGGCCCUCAAAAAAGUGAAUGAGAAGAACUUCUUCUGGAAUAGAAAGCUUUGGGCCAGUGAGAGUAAGGUUAAUAAAGCGGUCCCAUGAUUUUCCAAGAGAUUCUUCUUCCAGUUGUCUAAAAGAAAUAAUCUCCCGCCGAAGUUCUGCCACUUUGGAGAUUGGAAAAUAUUUAAAAAGAAAACUAUUAUAUAAGUCCUUCCAAUCUCCAUGAACACUCCCUACUUUGAGUUUGUACCAAUGUCUAGCUUUUCCUGUUAAAGAGAACGGAAAGAGCUUCCAUUUAAGGGUCUCAUCAGACAUGCCUUCAAUGUGAAGGAGGUCACAGACUCGAUAAAACUCUCUUAGGUGUGUGUAUGGGUUUUCCUCACCUUCUCCUGAGAAAGGUUGUUUUUGAACAAAUUCUAUGUAUUCGGGGUCUAUCUCAAAACUAGAUGCUAUGAUAGGCUUUGAAGAUUUUGGUGGUUCGAGAUGUGUGCCCGUAGGUCUAUGAAAUUCAUAGAUAGACAUGUUUGCCUUCAUGAUAGACCAGAGAUCAAGGAUUAGAUAAGAAGAAAGAACAGCAGAGAUAAGGCAAAUGAUAAAAGGAAAAAUAUAUUUUUUUUAUUUUUUUAGAAAAUGAUUAAGCUAGUUCGUAGUCAACUCAGCAACCAUUUCCCCGGAAACGGCGCCAAAAAUGCUUGUUGACACUUGCUAACACUACUUGAAUACUAGGUAGUCAUCCGUAGCAUGGCACUAGAGUGUACUAUGGUAUUUAUACGCACACAGAUAAAUCCGCAAGCGCACGGAUACCAUUGUAGCUUUUACCCGGUUAAAGGUUUUAUCGUAUCCACAGGGAAACGGGAGAACUGAUCUAUGCUCUAACUUAACCUAGAUAGAUAGGUAGGUGUAAAUAGGAAAGAUGGUAGAAUUGAGUAAGAACAAUAUUCAAGGUAAGAUAACAAUGGGUGAUAAUAUGGGAAUAGAGAGUAGGGCAAUCUAGUAUAUGCGUGAUGGUAGGAGAACAGAGAGGAUAACUAUGGUUUCUCUACAUCAAAGAGGUAUGUCUAUGUCUAGGACAAACCACAUGGUAAGAAUACACCACAAAGGAUGCUUAUCCAUAGGCCGAUAAACCCUACCAGUCCUACUAACGGGAGGUGGACUACAGGGGACCAACGUAACUGUCACCUACGCGGCCUGCCACACAAUCCGGCUAAACAGGGGAUAUCCACAAGUAAUCUAGGUCUAAGCACCACGCUUACACAUAUACUACAACUCUCACCUAUAGCGUCCUAUAGAUUAAAGUACUCAAAAGAGUUGUCAACCAGAACAUACAUGGAUAGUAAUUGCAUAAUGAAAUAGAAGUAGAUUACCAGAGUCAUCCCACGAGCAAGCUUGAUUAGAGCUUAAUCAUGGCGAAGUAUAACCGGAGGAAGAACCGACAGGCCGGCCUCUCCUCCAAUCCUCCCUCGCUCUCCAUCUCGCUACUAUCUAGAUCUACUCUAGUUUAGAGAAGAGAGGAGAGCUCUCAUCUCCAAACCCUAGCUUUUGUUCUGUCUAUGAAUAAUGAAUAAGGAUGAAGGGGUUGCCUCCGCCAGGGGCUAGGGGGCCUGCUUAUAUAGUCACCUCAAGUGAAUCUGGGCCGUUGGAUCAAACCGACAUUAAUCACACGGUUUUCCUUGAUCCUUUAGGUCAGUGGACCAUAAUCCACGAGAUUGAUCGUGAUUGGCUGAAAAAGUAGGGCGGGCGCCCUGUCCCUGAGCCCACUCGGCUUCCCGUUCGUUCCCGUGGCUUCUGGAGUCUUCUAGAUGAUAGAAAAUUGCGCGGUACGUUAAUAUCUCUAUGUAAACCCGACAUGUGGGCCUUUCCUCCAAAUUUCCUGAUAACCCCCUGCAGAAAUAGAGAAACACCAAAACUCGUGGAAUUCUAUCAGAUAAGACCCUAAGUCUGGGUGUUGGUUGCAUUUGAAUCCUUUUCUUUAUUUAUUUGAUGAUUAAAUUUGGUACUUAAGGACCGUCAACACUCCUACGGCGGGGUCAUAAAGAGAAUCCACAGGUGUCCUGCUUAUGAGACAACGAAUGGUUGUGAAAUAGGAGAGAAGCCUGAUAACAUCAGACGACACUUCUGACUCCUUCAGCCAUUCGCUGCUCAUAACAGUCAUGAGCUCUUGACUAGUUGCUUUGAGGUAACAAGCCUCUAAGCGAGAAGAUACUUGCUCUUUUGGAGUGUUGUGGUUUCUCUUUUGCACAGGUUGUUUCGAGAUGUUGCCAUAAUCGGUGAAAAGAUCCAUCUUGAUGUUAAGAGGAUACUCCAAUGGAUGAAUCACUUCUUCCUUUGGAGGUAUUUGGGAUUGUGGUUUAGGCUCGACAGCUUGUGAUGUGGCUAUUGUAGGGUCAGCUGAUGAGGUUUCAUCCCUAGGGGCUUGGUCUUCCUCAGGGGCAUCACUAUGGUCAUCAGUGUAGGGGGUGUUGUCUAGUAUGGUUGCUAGGACCACCCUACCUUCACUAAUGGGUAAAUGAAGGAAUGCUCCCUUCGAGGCUAGAUCAAGGAAUUGUGUGGAACUUUGCCUAAGACCGAGAUAGAAAUGCUGCAUUAGCGUUGGCUCGGUUAUGGCUAAGUCUGGGCCUGAGGACACUAAGUUUGUGAUUCGUGCCCAAGCCGCACCUAGAGAUUCCUUCUCUUCUUGCUGGAAGUUUACAAUCUCUCUACAGAGACAAGCCACACGAGAAAUGGGGAAGUAGGUAAGGCAAAACUUGGCUUACAGCUUCUCCCAUUCUCUGUCUACGCUACCUACAUAGCAAGAGUACCACCGUCUGGCUUUUCCCAUCAAAGAGAACAGGAAGAGAUUCCACUUACACAGCUACAGAAAACAUUUUUACAUACGAUGCUAAAAGCAUCUUCAUAGGUGGCCAAGUCCAUCGCCUGUACCGGGGGUCAUUACAAAAUGGACCACAGUACAGGCGGGGUAGUGUGAGCCACCUAUGGAAAUUGGGUUUUCACAGGCAGCUCACCUAGUCAGCC
Molecule: long non-coding RNA, 39664 nt
Filed under: Sorghum bicolor (sorghum)
Lineage: Eukaryota; Viridiplantae; Streptophyta; Magnoliopsida; Poales; Poaceae
Description: long non-coding RNA (SBIC_LNC013864)
Source: RNAcentral